This 762-nucleotide ribosomal RNA is filed under the name uncultured bacterium. RNAcentral's name for it is "bacterial SSU rRNA". It matches the Rfam family "Bacterial small subunit ribosomal RNA", at positions 90 to 871 of the family's 1533-position model. The record is from RNAcentral.
UACCACUGGCGCAAGGGUGAGUAACGCGUAGAUUAUCUGCCUCUUUCUUUGGGAUAACGUAGGGAAACUUGCGCUAAACCCGAAUGAGGCCUUAGGGUCAAAGGAAACGGAAAGAGAUGAGUCUGCGUCUGAUUAGGUAGUUGGUAGGGUAAUGGCCUACCAAGCCAACGAUCAGUAACUGGUCUGAGAGGAUGAUCAGUCACACUGGAACUGAGACACGGUCCAGACUCCUACGGGAGGCAGCAGUGAGGAAUUAUGGUCAAUGGGGGAAACCCUGAACCUGCGACGCCGUGUGCACGAUGAAGGGGCUUUGCCUUGUAAAGUGCUGUCGGGUGGGAAAAAAAGAGCUAUGAAGCUCCGGGAUUGUACCACCAAAGGAAAGACCGGCUAACUACGUGCCAGCAGCCGCGGUAAUACGUAGGGUCCGAGCGUUGUCCGGAUUUACUGGGUAUAAAGGGUCCGCAGGCGGACCUGUGCGUCGAGGGUUAAAUCCCACAGCCUAACUGUGGAGCUGCCCUCGAUACGGCGGGUCUUGAAUACGAGAGAGGUAAGUAGAAUUCCUGGUGUAGCGGUGAAAUGCGUAGAUAUCAGGAGGAAUACCAGUGGCGAAGGCGGCUUACUGGCUCGUUAUUGACGCUCAGGGACGAAAGCGUGGGAGCAAACAGGAUUAGAUACCCUGGUAGUCCACGCUGUAAACGAUGGGCACUAGGUGUUCGGGGUAUUGACCCCCUGAGUGCCGCAGCUAACGCAUUAAGUGCCCCG